UGAGAGCAGAGUGUUGCUAAACUUACCAUGUGAUGGAUAUUUCUCCGUUUUGAUAUUGCACAGAAUGAAGAACAUAGCAGACAGAUGAAGUAGGCCUGGUGGUGCUCUGAGCAGAACAAAUCCUAAGGCCAGGUUAGACUAGCUUUGCACUGUUUCCCUCGUGUCUAGAUUUCUGAAGGAUGAGUCUUUUGAUUUGUUUCUAACCUGCUUAAAAGAGAUGGGGAGGCGGAGGAAGCAAGGAGCCGAGGUGCAGCCGGAUGCCUCCCAGGAUGAAUAAUGGCAACAAGAAACAGAGUUCUUAAAGCCCAGAUGAUAAGGGCCUCAGUCUGGGUGUGAAUGAACUUGGCCUGACUUCUUUGCUGCCGUCAUAUGAACCGGAAGGAGACAGCUUAGAUAGAGCAAGCCUGCUCCUUCCAGAAGCACGAGGGUCCUGUGGCGGUUUUUGCUUCAAACACCGCAGAACACAGAGCAAACCCCAUGACGCCGUCCUUCAACUAAACAGCCCAAAGCAGCAAACUAGAGGUUUCCAUUUUUAGUUUGCAAGGGGAACAACUGAGCUUUCAUGAGUUGGAAUUUGCUAACGUAAAUUGAGCCUUUGUAAGAGGGCUGAAAUUGACCCUGGAGACGGAAAGCACAGGAAAUAUUUGCUGUGGUCGGUGGGAGAGGACGCUCCGCAGACAAAGCCGCCUGCUUCUCCCGUCAGGCCUGCCUCCUCUCUAGGCAAAUAUUGGAGGGAUGACUUUUUUAUUUGCAGAGAGGAUUUGGCUAAUUUUGUUUUAUUUGUGUACCUUACAUUCAUGGAGCACUCUGCACAGUCUGUUGGAUAAUCUCUAAUUAUUCCUUUCCUCUUCACACCUGUGAGGCCGAUGCUCAGCAUAUUUCAGAGGAAGCUGGCACCAGGGAUGAGGGAAUCUGCCCAAGCAUGAGUCACCUGGAAUAUUAAACCAGAACCAACACACAAAUGAUCUGUGCAAAGAGGUGCAGCACCAUUGAAGUGUGUUUGACAGACAGAACUACUGUUUUGAAUCAACCCUCUGAGAUGUCUAAAUCAGCCUGUCAGACUUUGCUCCCUCUAUCACGUUUCCCAAGAAGAGGAUCAGAGAUAAAGAGAAAUAUGGAAAUUUGGAGUAAAAGGUGAGUCUAGAGAACAAGAAAAAAAAAAUGUGCCUUCAGAGACUACAACAAAGGAACCCAACAAAAUAUAGGACAAUCUGGUUACUAUGUUGAAGUCACAAAUGUGAAGAAAAUAAUAUACCAAAACGUUUCAGAAAAAUCC
This 1276-nucleotide long non-coding RNA is filed under the name Homo sapiens (human). Its description in RNAcentral is "non-protein coding lnc-NCK2-2:1". Lineage: Eukaryota; Metazoa; Chordata; Mammalia; Primates; Hominidae. The record is from RNAcentral.